GUCGCACUUGCAGUGAUAAAUGCAGUAACAGAUGAUGACUUCUUUGGCAUCUUUACAAUAGAGCAAAUUAAGGAAGCUGCACAAAAAGUAAAAGUAUAAUUAGUCUCAGUAAAUUGAAGUAGCAGUUAGUCUGAGUUCUGGGUAACAAAUGUCUUGUGAAGGUAUUGUUCACUCGAGCUAUCGUGAAGUUUCUCAACUCGUUGAACUACUGGCUGCCUUUAAAGCUAGUCGUUGAUCAAAAGUUCAUGUUAAUGUUUUUUCCUUUGUGAAAGGAAGUAGUUAUUCUCAUAGGCUGUACAAGGUAUUUGGAAUUAAUGUGUAGGUGCUUACUAAAGUGUAGUUGUUUUCAUGUAAUUUUUAUAUAGAUUUUCAUGCGGGUCAAUUCAAUAAGUUUAUUACACGAAAACAACUACACUUUAGUAAGCACCUACACAUUAAUUCCAAAUACCUUGUACAGCCUAUGAGAAUAACUACUUCCUUUCACAAAGGAAAAAACAUUAACAUGAACUUUUGAUCAACGACUAGCUUUAAAGGCAGCCAGUAGUUCAACGAGUUGAGAAACUUCACGAUAGCUCGAGUGAAC
This 583-nucleotide unclassified non-coding RNA is filed under the name Hevea brasiliensis (rubber tree). The record is from RNAcentral. Lineage: Eukaryota; Viridiplantae; Streptophyta; Magnoliopsida; Malpighiales; Euphorbiaceae.